This 497-nucleotide ribosomal RNA is filed under the name uncultured bacterium. RNAcentral describes it as "partial 16S ribosomal RNA". It matches the Rfam family "Bacterial small subunit ribosomal RNA", at positions 28 to 507 of the family's 1533-position model. The record is from RNAcentral.
GAUGAACGCUGGCGGCGUGCCUAAUACAUGCAAGUCGAGCGAACAGACGAGGAGCUUGCUCCUCUGACGUUAGCGGCGGACGGGUGAGUAACACGUGGAUAACCUACCUAUAAGACUGGGAUAACUUCGGGAAACCGGAGCUAAUACCGGAUAAUAUAUUGAACCGCAUGGUUCAAUAGUGAAAGACGGUUUUGCUGUCACUUAUAGAUGGAUCCGCGCCGCAUUAGCUAGUUGGUAAGGUAACGGCUUACCAAGGCGACGAUGCGUAGCCGACCUGAGAGGGGGGUCGGCCACACUGGAACUGGAACACGGUCCAGGCUCCUACGGGAGGCAGCAGUAGGGAAUCUUCCGCAAUGGGCGAAAGCCUGACGGAGCAACGCCGCGUGAGUGAUGAAGGUCUUCGGAUCGUAAAACUCUGUUAUUAGGGAAGAACAAAUGUGUAAGUAACUAUGCACGUCUUGACGGUACCUAAUCAGAAAGCCACGGCUAACUACGUG